RNAcentral lists this ribosomal RNA (1450 nucleotides) under human gut metagenome. RNAcentral's name for it is "bacterial LSU rRNA". It matches the Rfam family "Bacterial large subunit ribosomal RNA", at positions 573 to 2043 of the family's 2925-position model. The record is from RNAcentral.
GUGGGAGUGCCAUAUGGGCACGACCGCGUACUUUUAGUAGAACGGUCCGGCGAGUUACGCUUACUGGCAAGGUUAAGACCUUAAGGGACGGAGCCGUAGGGAAACCAAGUCUUAACAGGGCCAAAGUCAGUAGGAGUAUACCCGAAACCGGGUGAUCUACCCAUGUCCAGGCUGAAGCUGCCGUAAGAGGCAGUGGAGGGCCGAACCCACAUCCGUUGAAAAGGGUGGGGAUGAGGUGUGGGUAGGGGAGAAAUUCCAAUCGAACCCGGAGAUAGCUGGUUCUCCUCGAAAUAGCUUUAGGGCUAGCCUCGGUAUCGAGUCUUGCGGAGGUAGAGCACUGAAUUUCCUAGGGGGCGUCAAAGCCUACCGAAGAAUAUCAAACUCCGAAUGCCGCUAAGAUAUGACCGGGAGUCAGACUGCACGAGAUAAGUUGGGCAGUCAAAAGGGAAAGAGCCCAGACCUUCAGUUAAGGUCCCAAAGUGUGCGUUAAGUGGAAAAGGAUGUGGGAUCUCCAAGACAACCAGGACGUUGGCUCAGAAGCAGCCAUACAUUCAAAGAGUGCGUAAUAGCUCACUGGUCGAGAGGUCCUGCGCCGAAAAUGUCCGGGGCUGAAACGCACCACCGAAACUAAGGAACCGAAAGGUUGGUAGAGGAGCAUUGCAUACGGGACGAAGCAGUACCGAAAGGAGCUGUGGACUGUAUGGAAGAGAGAAUGCCGGAAUGAGUAGCGAGAACAAGGUGGGAAUCCUUGUGGCCGAAUAUCCAAGGUUUCCAGGGUAAAGCUGAUCUGCCCUGGGUGAGUCGGGGCCUAAGGCGAGGACGAGAGUCGUAGCCGAUGGACAACAGGUGGAGAUUCCUGUACUGCGGUAUGACAGAACUGUGGGGACACGUAAGGAAAGCGGAAGCCGGGAAUGGAAAGCCCGGUGCAAGCAGGGUACCAGUGCGGAAGGCAAAUCCGCCGCACAAUGGGAAGCUGUGAAGCGGAGCGAAAUAAAGUAGCGAAGUCCGUGAGCCAUGCGUCAAGAAAAGCCGCUAUUGUUUGUACCGUACCCGUACCGUAAACCGACACAGGUGGAUGAGGAGAGAAUCCUAAGGCCGGCGGAAGAAGCAUUGUCAAGGAACUCGGCAAAAUGGCCCCGUAACUUAGGGAUAAGGGGUGCCUGGGAAACCAGGCCGCAGAGAAUAGGCUCAAGCAACUGUUUAGCAAAAACACAGGUCUAUGCGAAACCGAAAGGUGAGGUAUAUGGGCUGACGCCUGCCCGGUGCUGGAAGGUUAAGAGGAGAGGUUAGCGCAAGCGAAGCUUUGAAUUUAAGCCCCAGUAAACGGCGGCCGUAACUAUAACGGUCCUAAGGUAGCGAAAUUCCUUGUCGGGUAAGUUCCGACCCGCACGAAAGGCGUAAUGAUUUGAGCGCUGUCUCGACAAUGCAUCCGGUGAAAUUGAAGUACCAG